AAACCUCAUGGUUCCUAGUCAGAUUCGUUAACCACUGCGCCACAACAGGAACUCCCUACAACAGCCUCUUGUAGUAGGCUGGUCUCCCUGUGUUCACACCAGCCUCUGCUCCCAAAUCAAUUGUCUGCAUUGCAGUCAAAGGAAUCAUUUUAAAAUGCAAAUUUAAUGUCAUAAUCUGAUUAAAAUCUUUCAAUUGCUUCGCAUUGCUCUUAGGCAUCAUUAACAAGAACUCUAAAGUCCCACAUAUUUGACUCCAUUUUGCUCUAGUCUCACCUCCCAUGAUUCUCCUCUCCCACUGCCUGUACUCCAGUCAAGUUUGCCUUCUCUGCUUCUACCCACAGAGUGCUCUCACCUGCCACAAAUAUUUUGCACUUGCUCACCCCUCAGAAGGAAUGUUCUCCUCUGCUGGCCUCACUGACUCAUAGGUCAGUUCUCAACUCAAACAGCUUUCUCACGGAAAGCAUCCCAGAGCCACAGACAACAUCACAUCCCCUGUUAUACACUGUACCACACUCUAUUAAUUUUGCCACUAUUUGUAAUUAUAUAUAUAUUUUUUUGUGAUUAUUUGAGGUGGGGAAGCCUGUGGUUUCAACUGUGGCUCAUUGUUUCCAAAGAUGUCUUUCCGUGUCUGCUGUGUUCUCUUCCCUGGAUGCACGUCCCCUCUCAGCUUUAGAUACAAGACUGGACUUAGAGCAGAGGACCUUAAAUUACAAACUCUGAAAAUACUUCUCUUUUCUGCCCCUUUGCCAACCUCACUUCUAGCAGUCUCCCUCAGCUAGGAUUCUAGGCUACAGAUAAUCAGGACAAGUUAGACUCUGUGGCUCCCCUGUUUGUACCACUUGCUUGGGGUGUUGAGUAUGGUACUAGAACUAGGCUCGGUAUGGAAGCUGGACUCUAUAAGAUCAUUCCCCCACUGCUAUACCCUGCCCAUGCCCCUGUGUCUGUUCACCUUAAUUGAAAAAGCACUCAAUGAGCCUUUCUGUUCUAUGACAUUUAUGUUUAUAGAAAUCUACCUCACCCAAAGUCUGAGGUUUGUUUUUGCUCUCAGUGGUCUCUCAUAUUUGAUCUAAAUUUCACUCUAUUUGGCUGCUAUUCUUCAUAUUUGUCUUCCUUAUUCCCAUGUGAACACAGUGUUUUCCUCCCUGAAUUUAUUCUUUGGGGAUUAGGGGGAGGGUUAAUUUUUUUAUUGUUUUUAUGAGUUUCAGGGAGGAACUUAACAUUCAUUCAAGUGGCUUAUACUCCAUCAUCUUUUAACUCAAAGUACCUGUAGCUGUGAGGAAAUGUUAACCUGUAGAAGAUGUGUCUGUUUAUUCUGCGGCUUCAUACCCAAGAGAAUACUUGCCCCAGUUUAAGAAGUACUCUGCAGCCUAUUAAAAUAGAACUCCCCCCCACAAUAAAGCAGAGAAUAUUACAAAAUAAACUAAUUAUCCAUGGACUUCACCAAAUAGGCCCACACAUUUUCUAAUGAGAGAAACUGCUUUUUAUAGCACACAUGGGGAAAACACUGUAGAUCCCCAAGUCUCAGAUUACAGAACUGAAAAUGCUUUGUUUGCCAAGACUCUUGCUUUUCCCCCAAAACUGUAUAGAUAAACACCUACCAUUAGUGGCAGGCACAUAAUAGGUCCUCAAAAUGUUAACUCUCUCUUCUUCUUUUAAUGUAAGAAGGAAAAAUAUGUUUGUUUGUUUAGGGCCACAUCUGCAGCAUACGGAAGUUUCCAGGCUACAGGUCGAAUCAGAGCUGCAGCUGCUGGCCACAGCCACAGCCACAUGGGAUCCAAGCUACAUUUGUGACCUUACACCACAGCUCACGGCAACACCAGAUCCUUAAUCCACUGAGCAAGGCCAGGGAUCAAACCUGAGUCCUCAUGGAUACUAGUCGGGUUCAUUACCACUGAGCCAUGACAGGAACUCUGAAUAAUACAUUUUUAAAGAAAGCUUUAUUAAGUGCCUCCUAGGCACUUUAUUAAGUGCUAGGCACAGUGAUCAAUACCAGAGAUCCCAGUCCAGUGGAGGAGAAGGACAAGUAAACGCAAAUGGGCAAUGGCUACAAACAGUGCUAUAAUAGCAAAGGAUGCUUUAAGAAAACAAAAGUAGACCUUCUUAUCUGUCCUAAAAUGGGAAUGUUGGGGAAGAAGAAUGGGAGCUUCCUACAGCAGGAGAUGCCUAUGUCAAACUAUCAUACUUACAGAACAAAUAGUGAAAAAACACACAGAAAAAGCAAGAAGAAAGGUACCCCAGCAACAGUACAGCAUUGUCCCUAUAAAUAGCCUAGAGACUAGAUUGUGGAAUAUUCAAAGAAUUCGAAGUUCGGUGAAGUAGAACAGCAGAGUGGGAAGAAAAUAGCAGGAAAUGAAUCCAGAGGAGAAUCAAGGACCAUAUCCUUUGGUUCAAUUCAACAAACAUUUACUGAGCACCAAACACGUACGGAGCACUGAGGAUACGAAUACUAAGAUACAGUCCCCACUCUCAAUAAGUUUCAAAUCUCAUGAAUAAAAUCCAACAUGUAGACAGGGAAUGUCAACAGUAUGUGACAAGUGAAAUCAGAGAAGAGUACUUAUCCUGGGAGAGUUAAGAAAAUAUUCACCUUAGCCAAGUCUUUAAAAAUGAGAACAACAUAACCAAAGGAUGGUGCCAUGGGAGUUAGAAAAAAUAUGUCUGGAGUUCCUGUUGUGGCUCAGUGGGUUAUGAACCUGACUGGUAUCCAUGAAGAUGAGGUUUAAUCCCUAGCCUCACUGAGUGGGUUAAGGAUCCAGUGUUGUUAUGAGCUGUGGCGUAGGUUGCAAAUACAGCUCAGAACUGGUGUUGCUGUGGUUGUGGUGUAGGACGGCAGCAGCAGCUCCAACUCAACCCCUAGCCUGGGAACUUCCAUAUGCUGUACCUACAGCCCUAAAAAGAAGGGGAAAAAAAAUAUUUCUGGCAGAAGAAAAAAAAAUAAGUGCAGGCUUUGAGGUGAUAAAUGGUAUGUUGUGCAGGAUACCAACCAAACACAAAUAGUUCAGUAUUUCUGGGCUACAAGGCAUGAAACAAAUGUUUAACCACGAGACUGGAGUGACAAGAAAGGGAGAUCCAUGCCCUGCAAGGAACCUAAAACUUUAUCCCAUAGGUGACACAGCACUACUGGAGAGUUUUGAUCUGGGAGGAACAUACAAUAAUAGGCUGAUCUCUCCGAUACUAGUAUUGAUAAUGGAUUUAAGGGAGUCUGGAGGCUAGGAGAACAAUUAGAAAGCUAUUGCAGUAGUCCAAUAAAAAGAUUCUGAGGGCUUGAAUUAAAGUAAUUAUGUGAUAGAUGGGUAGAGGUGUAAAUAAACAUUAAGAGAUAAGGAGGUGAAAUAAGAAGAGUUUAUUGAUUGGGAAUAUGCAAAAAUGAGGGAAAAGAAAUCAGUGAUGGUAACCAGUUUUCCAAAAAUUAAGAAAGGAAAUGCCUACUACAUGUUGAACUUGUUUAAAUUAUAUUUACUUGUAUUAGCCUAUAAUUGCAGUGAAGAAAGGGACUAUGUUAUUUAGCAUUGAGUUUCCUGUGUCUGGCCCAGUGCCUUCAUAUAAGUAUGCAUUCAAAAAAAUAUAUGUGUAGUUAAUUAGAAAAAUCAAAGGGCUGUUGGAAAUGAUGAGUUUGAUAUUGACUAUAACGAGCUUGAAGACACCUGUAAAGUUUCCAAGUAGAAAUUUCCAGUUGGAAAUAAUAUAGGUUUAGAGCCCAGGAAAUAGAAUUAGAUGCCAUUGGAAUAGCUGAAGCUGUGGGAAUGGAUAAUCUCAGAAAGUGAGGGGGUGGGAACAUUGGCAAAGGAGAGUGCCCUGGGGAUUCACUUAAAUAAAUUUUCACUUUAUUUGACUCAAUGAUUAGGAAAGAUGAACAAAUCGUGCAGCUCAAGAUCCAAGAAUCAUCAGAACCAUCCACUCUGCACUAACUUUUUCAAGAAGGAAAUUCAGUAGUGUUUGAAGUUAGGCGAUUUGCCCAAGUGGACGUAGCCAGCACCCAACGUGACACAGCUCAGGUGUUUUGAUUCUAAAUAGAAUACCUUUCAUUAUUAUUACUAUUAUUAUUAUACAUUAGAAUUUUCAAUGCACAAUGCAGGGGCAACAGCCAUGGUCUUUAAGGUGCCCAGAACCUUUUAAAUGUUCAACCUAUUUCAUAGUAAUUCUAACUUAAAAUAUUCUUAUACACAAGCAGUGCUCAAGCACUGCUCUUAAAACGAAGCAAUGUAAGUAGGACAUAAUUCUUGGGAGAGUUGAUUUUAUAACUGGAUUGUUCGGGUAGCAGGUGUUCUCGAGGGUGAGGGCAACUAUGUUAAAAUUAACAUCUCUAUAUGCGUAGCACAUAAACUAAACAAAUCGGGCUCAACGAAUAUACAUUCUCUGCACUGUUCGCUCCAUUUGAAUGAGCACAGCAGCAGCAGCUCUGAACAUUUGCUCUUGAACUCUGGAACUCUAACUACAAACAGGGUUUGUAACGUUAUGAUAAUGAGAAGCUGUAUUUUAAAAGAGAUCAUUAUUAAAGUGCUCUGCCUUAAUUUGGAGUUGCCUUCCUAUUUCCGCCCAACUUUAUUUGGAAUGAGUUGCAAUUUCUAACCUACCACCAGUAACAGAAGCUCUAUGUGAUUAAGACAAUAAAUAUAUUCACAAAAUGUAAACGCAGCUUUUAGGGCUUUAAACAUCUGCUAUGAAAAUAAAACUUUUACACAGAUUCAUGGGCAAAAUGAAACCUUUCUUCCAAGACAUUUUUUUAAUGGAACUGAAAGGUCUGAAAUACAAGUAACGGUCUCUUCCCAAACCCAAUGUGCAGAUAUAAGCUAAUUCACGUGUGAUAUUGGUCAAUUAUCUGGGUCUUUAUACAGUUGCAGGGCGCACUCAGAGUCGUUUUUGGACUGAUUUAGACAAAGUUGUUCAAUGGGACUAAAACUCUGCAUUCAAGGUUUCAGUUAUAACAAGAUCUAGAUAUUAAAAUUGAAUUGUCCAAAAUCUCUGUCGGUUGUAUUACUAUUUGUAUUGCCAAUGUUCUCACAACAGGAACAACCUUAUGUCAACAUUUAAUAAAUCUUUGCCUUAUUUUCUUUCUUACCCUAGAAAUGCAAGACAGGUGAGGAAACAGCUUAUAUUCAACUCCCUCCUAAUUGGAUAACUUGAUCAGUUUCAGCCAAGAAUUUGAAUGGCUUUUCCACCCUUACACAAUUCAUUACACCAUUUAAAAAUCAGUCUGACAUCCUUGGAAAAUUCACCAAAUAUGGGAAGAGUUUUACAGAUAUUUAUCACCAAAAUGUUAAUAAUAGAGGGAAAAAAAACCCAAAAACAAACUAGAAGUAACCCAAUGUCCAAGAAUAAGGGAAUGAUUACAUAAAGGCUGAUAUAGUAAUUAAAUAAAAGGACAUGCACCAUUUAGAAGCAUGCUUACUCAGGUUAUAUAGCUACAUGAAAAAUACUGCUGGUAUCAACAAGCCUUCACAUAAACCAGAAGCAGUUCAUUCUCUGAUGCUUUAACUGAAUCCACAGAUAGCAGAGUCCUUUGCCACUAUACAUCAUGUUAGAAAAUAGUUUUUAAAUUGUUCCCUGAUGGCUUUCAUCUCUAACGUUUUAACCAGCACCAUUCUAUCCAUGAAGCAAUAUUAAGUUACCACCUUCACCAAUACUAUUUUAUUGAAUCCUCAAAAAAUCCCAAAAGGUAAAUAAUAUUAUUAGUUCACUAGAGUAGUUAUUAACAUUAUUGUGAGUGGUUUAUCCCAAGACAUUAAAUAUAUUUGAUUAUCUUGGGGGGGGGAUCCCAUUCCUGUAAGUCAACCAGUACAGUGACUAAAUAUCUCCUUUUCUAGCAAAUGAUAAAAUAAAACCUCAUUAUUUAGACACUGUCUAGACAGUACUGUCCAAGAGAAAUAUAACGCAAGGCAUAUAUAGAAGUCAUGGAUGUAACUUUAAGUUUUCCAGUAAUUGCAUUAGGAAGCAAAAAGAAACAAAUGAAAUUGAUUUU
Molecule: long non-coding RNA, 5956 nt
Filed under: Sus scrofa (pig)
Lineage: Eukaryota; Metazoa; Chordata; Mammalia; Artiodactyla; Suidae
Description: lncRNA (ENSSSCG00065019900.1)
Source: RNAcentral